CUUCCUUUCUCCCCCUAUCUUCCUCUCUCUCUCUCUCUCUCUCUCUCUCUCUCUCUCUCUCUCAGCGGCAGUAGUUUUUCUCUCCCUCUUUCUCGGUCUCCGUUUCUACAAAGGGAUUGAUUCUAUCCCUACGAUUAAGUUGAAACUAGAGAGAAAGUGGGAUGAACUGACCUGUGAGAGAGGCUGAACUUGCCCAUUUUGUAAGGAGAAAACAGAGAGAUCCCUUCUUCAGCCAUUAUUCUUGCUGUCACUUCCUUUCUCCAACUAUCUUUCUCUCUCUCUUAUCCAUCCAACAACAUCUCUGUCAGCGGCAAUAGUUUCUCUCUCCCUCUUUCUCAGUCUCGGUUUCUACAAAGGAUUGAUUCUAUCCUUAUGAUUAAGGAAGAUUCUCUGAGGAAGAAAAUGAGAGCAAGGAGGGUUGUGGUGGGCUUAUGAUUAGGUUUCCUGUGGUUCCUUUUUUACUCUUUAUGUUUUUUACCCCUUCUAAUUUUAGAUUUCUUUUCGUGCAAGAAUGAACAAUACAUUUUUGUAUCC
Long non-coding RNA from Populus trichocarpa (black cottonwood), 534 nucleotides. RefSeq lists it as uncharacterized. The transcript is spliced from 3 exons. The record is from RefSeq and is a predicted model, not a curated record. NCBI's taxonomy places the organism in Eukaryota, Viridiplantae, Streptophyta, Magnoliopsida, Malpighiales, Salicaceae.